RNAcentral lists this long non-coding RNA (462 nucleotides) under Salmo salar (Atlantic salmon). RNAcentral describes it as "lncRNA (ENSSSAG00000104742.1)". Lineage: Eukaryota; Metazoa; Chordata; Actinopteri; Salmoniformes; Salmonidae. The record is from RNAcentral.
GCAGGGCUGGGUAAUGGGACUGUGUCUGAUAAGAGGGACAUCUUUCUACUCUUGUGUGCUUUAAUCUCGGUGUGUGGGGCGAGGCCCGGGGGAUGUGUGUGUGUGUGUGUAGCAAGGCCCAGGGCAGCUGUGUGUGCCUGGGGAACUGUGUGUGUGUGUGUGUGUGUAGCGAGGCCCGGGGGAGGUGUGUGUGUGUGUGUGUGUGUGCCAAGGCCUCGGGGAGCUGUGUGUGUGUGUGUGUUACGAGGUCCAGGGGAACUGUGUGUGUGUGUGUGUGUUACGAGGCCCAGGGGAACUGUGUGUGUGUGUGGCGAGGCCUGGGGAACUGUGUGUGUGUGUGGCGAGGCCUGGGGAACUGUGUGUGUGUGUGGCGAGGCCCAGGGAAACUGUGUGUGUGUGUUACGAGGCCCAGGGGAACUGUGUGUGUGUGUGGCGAGGCCUGGGGAACUGUGUGUGUGUGUG